UUCCCCUCCGGGGGUAGUAUGCACGCAAGUGUGAAACUUGAAGGAAUUGACGGAAGGGCACCACAAGAACGCGUGGAGCAUGUG
Molecule: ribosomal RNA, 84 nt
Filed under: Mesoflavibacter sp.
Lineage: Bacteria; Pseudomonadati; Bacteroidota; Flavobacteriia; Flavobacteriales; Flavobacteriaceae
Description: partial 16S ribosomal RNA
Rfam family: Eukaryotic small subunit ribosomal RNA
Source: RNAcentral